CCAAUAGCGUAUAUUAAAGUUGUUGCAGUUAAAAAGCUCGUAGUUGAAUUUCGGGAUCAAUAUAUCGGUCGUGCCUUGGUACGUACUGGUAUCAUUGGUUUCUCCUUUCUGACGAACCAUGAUGUCAUUAAUUUGGUGUUAUGGGAAGUUAGGACUGUUACUUUGAAAAAAUUAGAGUGUUUAAAGCAGGCUUUAGCUUGAAUACAUUAGCAUGGAAUAAUGAAAUAGGACGUUCGAACCUAUUUUGUUGGUUUCUAGGAUCAACGUAAUGAUUAAUAGGGAUAGUUGGGGGCAUUAGUAUUCAAUUGUCAGAGGUGAAAUUCUUGGAUUUAUUGAAGACUAACUACUGCGAAAGCAUUUGCCAAGGAUGUUUUCAUUAAUCAAGAACGAAAGUUAGGGGAUCGAAGACGAUCAGAUACCGUCGUAGUCUUAACCAUAAACUAUGCCGACUAGGGAUCGGAUGAUGUUAAUUUUUAAUGACUCAUUCGGCGCCUUACG
Molecule: unclassified non-coding RNA, 498 nt
Filed under: uncultured Glomus
Lineage: Eukaryota; Fungi; Glomeromycota; Glomeromycetes; Glomerales; Glomeraceae
Description: SSU rRNA
Rfam family: Eukaryotic small subunit ribosomal RNA
Source: RNAcentral